AUAUUCGAUUGUAUUUGGUAGUACUGCGUCCCAGCGUCAAUGCUGUUGGUGCAUAUCAUACGAAAAACCGAGGAUACAUGCAUUCAGUCAUUAGUAGGUGAUCAAUCAUCAUGCAUGUUUGUCCUCAGGCUAAGAAAAAGUCCUCGUUCAAUUUUAAUUGUCACUGAGAUAGGUAAAGAUCACUCAUGUAUGCAUUGGGCCUUAGCCAUUCAUUACGGUGUGCGACACUCGCAGUGAUACGGAGGCACAGACAUGCUUAAGUAAUUGGACACAUGACAUGCACCGUUGCAUUGCCAAUUUACCAACUUACCGAAUUCGGCACGGCAGAGUCUCCAUCGUCCACUUGUCCAUUGUUUAAAGAGGAUGGCCAAUACACACACAUAGUAUGUAAACAUAGGCAUUGAAUAAUUACAGCAGUGCCGGUGGCAUACUUUGGCUUGGCGAUCUCUUCUCAUUUCUUUUAUUAUUCCAUCCGCUCCCAAACUUCUGCUUGAUGAAAUAAUUGAAAAAAAUUAAGCCUGUAUACCGUAAGUGGCAGCAGGCAAAAAAAUUCGUAUACCAAAAUGUUAAUAUGAUACUCUGUAAAUUUAUCAAAAUCUAAUUUUGGUGUUAUUUUUUAUGGUACCAUUUAAUAAUAAGUCGCAUUGGUUAUGGUCCAAGUUUAAGCCGAUCUUAAGAGAAAGUAUUGGACGCUAUAAAAAUCACUGAGAAAGUGUGAAGUGAACUACAGUGAGACGUCAUUAGUACUUAUUUUAUAGUCAUGUAUCCUUGUGAAGAAACCCUGUGCUAAAGGACGAUUAAAGGGAGAACUUUAUCGUUCAGGCAAUAUGCAUAUCUGCAUAUACGUUAUGAUUCAAAGGUAUACACAUAGUUUAGUACUGAACGUGAAAUCCACUGCAAUGACUUCCACCCAAGUAACCCCUUGAUAUCGGUCAUAUGUAGUUAAUUCAUUUAAUCUCCACAAAGGCAGACGAAAAGUAAGUGAGUGCAGAAGUAAGUACAGAAAAGUCUCAUCCGGCCUCUUUCUGGAAAGUCAUUGCUACACCCUUCCGAUUUCUUCGUAAACUGGCUCAAUCGACUUUUCUUCAUCCUGGACUAUUUUCGAGAUGUGAUGCUAUCGAGACGCUUAAGAGUUGCCUUACUGUCACAUUGCAUUUAAUGAAUCAGCACAUGCAAUGCAACUGCAAUGCACCCUCCUCGUCUCACUUUUCCCAGUGAUGCUUCCUCCGAUGAGAUGAGAAGACGUCGAUGGAUGGAACGUCGAAUUAUGAUGCUCAACAAAAUAACGAUUAAUGAGUGAUUGGUAAACUAUGAAAAUCAAAAACUUUGUUAAAUCCGUUAAAAGUUUAAAAUGGGUUUGGAAUCACUUUUGGCUGGCUCCAGGAGGGUGUUUGGUGGUGCUGUUGGGAAGGCAGAGUGGAGACGACGAAGGAAAGUCUCUCGCCUUCUACACAGAGAGAUUUCUUACCUGUUUUACUUCCUCCGAGUGCACUUAUCAUCAUGAUCACACAACGCAUACGACGACGACGAUGGUGGAGAAGAAAGAGGAGCUGAAGAAGAAGAAGAGGCAAAGUUUACAAAAGUCAAGUCAACAGCCCGACUUGUGUCAGUGCUUGGCUCCCGUCCGUUCAUUUGGCUACCUUGUGUCAUGUCAUGAAUUAUUAUACAAUCGGAUGCCCUCUCAGUGUCUCAUUUAUUUUAACAUUUCAACCAUUUUCUUCACUCUCUGUCCGUGGUUUCGACACAAUUGCCA
Long non-coding RNA from Folsomia candida, 1753 nucleotides. RefSeq lists it as uncharacterized. The transcript has 3 exons. NCBI's taxonomy places the organism in Eukaryota, Metazoa, Arthropoda, Collembola, Entomobryomorpha, Isotomidae. The record is from RefSeq and is a predicted model, not a curated record.